ACGCUAUCACUCCUACGGGAGGCAGCAGUGAGGAAUAUUGGUCAAUGGAGGGAACUCUGAACCAGCCAUCCCGCGUGUAGGAAGACGGCCUUAUGGGUUGUAAACUACUUUUAUACAGGAAGAAACGUACCCUCGUGAGGGUGCCUGACGGUACUGUAGGAAUAAGCACCGGCUAACUCCGUGCCAGCAGCCGCGGUAAUACGGAGGGUGCGAGCAUUAAUCGGAAUUACUGGGCGUAAAGCGCAUGCAGGCGGCCUGUUAAGUCAGAUGUGAAAGCCCGGGGCUUAACCUCGGAAUUGCAUUUGAAACUGGCAGGCUAGAGUCUUGUAGAGGGGGGUAGAAUUUCAGGUGUAGCGGUGAAAUGCGUAGAGAUCUGAAGGAAUACCAGUGGCGAAGGCGGCCCCUGGACAAAGACUGACGCUCAGAUGCGAAAGCGUGGGGAGCAAACAGGAUUAGAUACCCGGUAG
Molecule: ribosomal RNA, 467 nt
Filed under: uncultured bacterium
Lineage: Bacteria
Description: bacterial SSU rRNA
Rfam family: Bacterial small subunit ribosomal RNA
Source: RNAcentral